GAGACACCUCUAUGGAACAGGGCUUGCUUCAGUGGGGCUUUGGUGCUCACUGAGUCUGCCCUUUGAGUGUGUCACC
Myotis davidii is the source of this 76-nucleotide non-coding RNA. Lineage: Eukaryota; Metazoa; Chordata; Mammalia; Chiroptera; Vespertilionidae. The record is from Rfam.